GGAUCUGUAGCUCAGUUGGUAGAGCGGGGGACUCUUAAUCCUCUGGCCGUUGGUUCGAGUCCAACCAGAUUCACCA
RNAcentral lists this transfer RNA (76 nucleotides) under Streptomyces afghaniensis. RNAcentral describes it as "tRNA-Lys". It matches the Rfam family "tRNA". Rfam says of the family: Transfer RNA (tRNA) molecules are approximately 80 nucleotides in length. Lineage: Bacteria; Bacillati; Actinomycetota; Actinomycetes; Kitasatosporales; Streptomycetaceae. The record is from RNAcentral.